UGUGGCAUCUGUGAAGAGCAGGGCGACUGCUGUGGAGUCCCAGGAUUUACACUGGUAUUUGCAGACCUUGGCCGGACACCGAGGACUUGGUGAAGGAGGCCGUUCCGCUGGCAAGCCUUUGCCCAUAACCAGAGGCGGUGAGUGGCCUGGGGGAAUUUCCACUCAUGGCUGCAGCUGCCGCUUUCUGGGUAACUCAUGGUACGUGUGGGCAGGGAAGAGCUCAAAAAAUGAGUUGCCUGGAGCCAACUCAUUCUGCAACUUGCUCCGCAGCAGAUGACAGCCUGCCGGUCUCCCCAAGUUGUUAACCCCUUAUAAUGAAGAUGAUGCUGUUUUCUUCCUGGUGCUGAUUCAACAGAAAGAGCACUGAACUUGGAAUCAGAAGGCCCAGGCUUACAGAACAGCCUCCAAACUAAAGACUUACAUAUUCUCCAAGAGGCCACCCCAGCUCUCCCAGCCUCAGUUUCUCUCAUUCAUAAAAUAAAAGCCUUGGUUGUCCUCUUUA
Molecule: long non-coding RNA, 502 nt
Organism: Felis catus (domestic cat)
Lineage: Eukaryota; Metazoa; Chordata; Mammalia; Carnivora; Felidae
Exons: 2
Source: RefSeq, a predicted model, not a curated record